GGCAAGCUAAAUAGUAUGAAAAAAUAAAAUAAAAUAUAGCUAAUAAAUGAACCACCAAGCCCCUCAAACCACUGGAUGUGAUGCUCUUGAAACUCCCAAUGUUAAAAUGCAUUGAAGCAGUAUACAUGUCAAACCCUCUUUACCCUAUAUAAAGAAAGCACAAAAAACUCACACAGCAGUUUCUAUGAUCAAAAAACCUUUGCCCAUCCAUAAUUCCUCAGAAUAAUCCUCCAAGAGCUGGAGGGAUUUCACCAGUAAAUUAAUAAUGUCUCCUUUGUGUGUGCAGAAGUUGAAAAUCCUAUAAUGUCACUUUCUCGGAUGAGAUUUAGUUUCAGUGCACAGUAGUUUGUAUUUCAUGCUAUUUCUCCUUGCACAUGGAUAUAUUGCUACAAUGGGCUCUAAAUUUCAAGGCUAUCUUUGGUAACAGUUGAUAAAUAUUUAAUCACUUCUCUUGAGUAAUUAAGUGAUUGUGGCAGAAAUGAUAAGCUAACAUAUUCAUCAUCCAAAAGGCUCAUCUCAAAGGAAGUUUCAUGGCAAUUGAUAAUAACCAGCAGAGAUCUUUCUCCUUGCCACCAACUGAAGCACACAUCACAGAGUUGCACUGUUGCAUGUUGCUGCUUAUGCCUCGGAUUUCAAGGAAUGCCUCACACAUACCAAAUCAUCCAAUUUAUUGCCAUCCAUUUUGUAGAGAGAAACACUUUCCAUCUGGGCAUGGUGGUCACGUGCCUCCUUUCUUAGACUUUCAAAUGGCCUGACCUCCCAUUUAUUGUAAUUUGAGUGUUUCCUGACAUCACUCAUGUCUGAAGAUCCUGAGGUGGGCCCACUGCUGUCAGGGUCCACAUUGCCCCACACCUUACAACUUCCGAACUGUCCAGGCCCAUGACCCCUCUUUAAGCGCAAGGCAGCAGCAUGAGCUCUGCUUAUCAUUUCUCGACUGGGGACAUCUGACCAGUCAUGUUUCCUUUGGGCUCUCAUGGGAGAAUGAAUCCUAAUGACACCAAGGCACUCUAGGAGCUGAUAAUAUGCACGUCCUUGAAGCGGAUUGUGCCCUUUCCUGGGAGUAGAGAAGUACCGUGUCCAUUCAGUAUAGCCAGGAUCAACUGUGAAUCCAUAUAUGUCAACAAUGUCACACAUUGAAAGUGCUAGUUCAAUAGAUUUCAUUCCAGUUCCCUUGGCACCCCUGCGUAGCACAAUUCCUUGGAAAAGAUAAACAGGAUUGGGAAUACUCUUUAUCAUAGCAUUAAAGUCUCUGUGGGUCACACUUUUGAUUAUAAGUACUUCAUCGGCUGCAGCGGAAAAAUCUGAUUAGUAUUGCCUUUUGAACUCGUAGAAUAAAAACAAAACACCCACGCAUCUUUGUUAAGUAGGCAACACAAAAUCAGAGAACAACCACAUAGGUGAAAAGAUAAGUGGCAACCAGAAGAGAUUGGUUCAUUUGUAGUAUAUUGUUUUACUAUCACACUUUAGACAAACUAAAGCCAGAAGUUAACCAAUCUCCUACUUUUGUCCAAAACACCCCCCUCUCCCUGGGCCCCUUGUUCCAAAUGAAAAGAAAAGAAAGCAAGAAAAAGGUUCAAGUCUGUGUUCUUAAAAAUACUGUGCUGACAUGGAUCCCUUGACUUCAUAAGUCUGACCUAGAUUCUUUCAUUCUAAAACUGCAUUUGCUAAAUUAAAAACAAAGGUUUUCACUUGAGAUUUAGUAGAAGUAUAACCACGCCAAUGGACAGAGCUCACAUUUGAUUGCCUUCAACAUAGAAGCUAUCAGGCAUUUAAUAUCCCAUAAUGUACUGGAAAUAAAAUAAUAAACAACAAUAGACAGGAAGACUACAGUAGCUACUGAUGCAGCAUUGAGCCAAAACUCAAUGAACUCAUCAAAAAAUUUUUUUUCCAGUUUCCAAAAUGUGGAAAGAAACAUAAUUAAACUAGGCCUGGCAGAUAUUUGAUAUAAAAAAAAAUGGUACUAACAGUUGCAGUUUCAAGAGACGUACUAGAUCCAUUGAGAAUCUUAACCAUGUUACGAGCAGCACCACGAACUACAAGGCGGAAAUCCCUUUUUAGCCCAACAUAUUUGGAAUAUUUCUAAACAAUAAAAUGAAAAGCCAAGAUAAGCAUUCACAGAAAAUUACUUGACUACACCUACCAAAAGAAUACAGUUGACAACAAAACAUCUAAAAGAAGAAAACGAUGAAAUGACUCCACUAAAUUAUGAUUGCAAUUCAAAUAUCUAAUGAAAGGUAAAGGAAAAUAAACUUUGACUGCCCUCAUCACCCAAAUAAUACUAAGUGGAAAACAUUAGGGUAAAAGGAGUAUUUAUUGGGGGCAGGGGAUGGGGUGUUGUGGAGAGAAAGAGAAAGAAAAAGCAACAAUUCAUAUUCAGGUUUGAAUGUUUUGGCUCUAGUCUUGCCAGUUUACCUCGUUAACUGGAGCUUCAUUGUCUCGUAUAACAGCCUCGUGACCAUCAAUCUCUUCUCCAAACUCAGUCUUUAGGAGAUCUCCUGAGUUACCAACAACAGCACAAGUGCGAAAUUGCCGGGGAUGGAAAGGGGGUUUAGCAGGUAGAAUCAAAUUAAGAUGUUCCUCACAGAGAGUCCUGUUGUAGCAUUUAUCAGAUCCCAAUUGAGCUAUCCUUUUUGCUGCAUACUCUAACCACCCAUCUGGCCGGGCAUCAAGGUAUUCUCUUGUCAGCACUGUAGUCAUGUUACGAUACUGUUCCCACAAUAGAAUUGCUUCACAAACAUCAUAGUGGUACUCCAACGGUUCAUAAAUUUUGAAUUGCUCAUUGAACUGAGAUUAAAAAGAGAACAAUCAGCAUGUAGCAGCUUUAAUUUUUUAAAGAAAAAAAAGGGUCAUUUUCAGAUAUAAUUGAAAGAGACUGAUAGAGAGGUAGACCCAGGUGCUGUUAGUGCCUUCAGGGAACUUAAGCGUCAAUUUGCAAAGGUCAACGAUCUGUGCCGUCAGACCGAGCCCUCUGUUUGCCUACAUUUGGCUCCAAGCUUUUAGCACAUAAUUGAGACACGCAUAAGAAUGCAUUAUUACAUUAUCAACAGGCACAUAUGAAUUUAGAUGCUUAAAUCUCUCAAUAUUCAAUCUAAUAGGCAAAAAUAACCUAGAUUCAAGAGAUCAGACUCAUCGAAAAGCCAUGUCAUAAACCAAAAUAUGGAUUUUCAAUCGGAAAAUUGAAAAACAAGAAACAGAGAUGCAGAUGAUCUAAGAUUUAAAAUUGGGAAGGAAUUGAAAUGUUAACCACGCAUUGCUGAACAGAUGACUGGAAAUCGGAUAAAGCACUGAUUUCUUCAUUGCUGAGAUCCGAAUUUCGA
This 3317-nucleotide unclassified non-coding RNA is filed under the name Hevea brasiliensis (rubber tree). Lineage: Eukaryota; Viridiplantae; Streptophyta; Magnoliopsida; Malpighiales; Euphorbiaceae. The record is from RNAcentral.